CCUACGGGAGACUGCAGUGGGGGAUAUUGCACAAUGGGGGGAACCCUGAUGCAGCGACGCCGCGUGGGUGAAGGAGCGUUUCGGCGCGUAAAGCCCUAUCGGCAGGGAAGAAGGCGGCCGGUACCUGACUACGAAGCCCCGGCUAACUACGUGCCAGCAGCCGCGGUAAUUCGUAGGGGGCAAGCGUUAUCCGGAUUUACUGGGUGUAAGGGGGGCGGAGAGGGCAGCGCAAGGCAGGAGUGAAAGCCCGGGGCCCAACCCCGGGACUGCUCUUGGAACUGCGCGGCUGGAGUGCAGGAGGGGCAGGCGGAAUGCCUGGUGUAGCGGUGAAAUGCGUAGAUAUCAGGAGGAACACCGGUGGCGAAGGCGGCCUGCUGGACUGCGACUGACGUUGAGGCCCGAAAGCGUGGGGAGCGAACAGGAUUAGAUACCCCUGUAGUC
RNAcentral lists this ribosomal RNA (441 nucleotides) under uncultured bacterium. RNAcentral's name for it is "partial 16S ribosomal RNA". It matches the Rfam family "Bacterial small subunit ribosomal RNA", at positions 338 to 795 of the family's 1533-position model. The record is from RNAcentral.